GGACUACCGGGGUAUCUAAUCCCGUUUGCUCCCCUGGCUUUCGCGCCUCAGCGUCAGAAGAGAUCCAGCACGUCGCUUUCGCCACCGGCGUUCCUUCUGAUAUCAACGCAUUUCACCGCUCCACCAGAAGUUCCACAUGCCCCUACCUCCCUCUAGACCAGCAGUAUCCAAGGCACUUUUCCGGUUGAGCCGAAAGAUUUCACCCCGGACUUGCUGACCCGCCUACGCGCCCUUUAAGCCCAGUGAUUCCGAACAACGUUAGGACGGUUCGUCUUACCGCGGCUGCUGGCAC
This 292-nucleotide ribosomal RNA is filed under the name uncultured Planctomycetota bacterium. Its description in RNAcentral is "uncultured planctomycete partial 16S ribosomal RNA". Lineage: Bacteria; Pseudomonadati; Planctomycetota. The record is from RNAcentral.